ACAUAAAAUGCCAUGAGCAUUGCGCCGACCAACACCUUUGUCUAUUGCCAACUUACGGAGAUAUGAGAUUCGUAAUUGUUUUCGCGCUGACAGUAUUAGCUCUCGUGCUAAGCUGUGACGCCGAGUGUCACCAUGACGACGUAUCCACGUGUUCUCUGAGCUGUCCUAAUGGGCAGAUAACCGGAUGUGUGCAUAGCCAGUGCCAGUGUGUUUCGACAUGCGCACAGGCAGGGGACUGCAGUUCGUUUGGCGAAUGCAAACACGGCUGGGAAUGCAUAAACGGUGGAUGUAUUUGUGAUUAACCAAUUGGUGUAUCGAUACAUUAAAAUAAAGUAUCAUACUGUU
Mya arenaria is the source of this 345-nucleotide long non-coding RNA. RefSeq lists it as uncharacterized. Lineage: Eukaryota; Metazoa; Mollusca; Bivalvia; Myida; Myidae. The record is from RefSeq and is a predicted model, not a curated record. The transcript has 3 exons.